ACUCUUUGCGUCAUCGAGCGAUGCUCUCCCUCCGCCGCCUCUCGCCUAUUCUCCCUCGAUCCCCCUCCAGUGCCGCCUCGCGUCUCCCUCUCUCUCUCUCUCCACGAUCUAUUCUUCUUCAUUAUCUCCCUCUCCCUAGAUGGAAGACAAAUCCAUCCACAAUCUCUUCCUCUCCAUUAUCAUCCUUGCCCUCACAGGAGAACAAAAUCGUUUAGAGCGGAAUCAAUUUUUGCCGUCCCCAAUGAUUGGAUCCUGAAUCUCCUCAUGUAUAAAUUUUGGAUGCUUUAUUGAGAUCAGGUCGGAGCACACGAACUAUGCCCAUCUUUGCUGCUCAAGAUUCUCCCAAUCUCCGGCAAGUUUGUCUCUGGUCGGUUGUUGUCAUUGCGCAGUCUUAGGUUGAAAACAAUGAUCUGCGAUAUACUCGAUGCGAAUAAUCAUGCGAAGGAUUCCUGGAAUGGCUAAAAAUAAACGGUGGGAGUAGUUAAGACUCCUGGAAUAUACACAGAUAAAAAAAGAACCAUCAUGGUACUUUGGGCCCUGUUGUUAUGGACACCAAAAGACUAGGACGGGAACACAUGUUGCAUUUUAUUAUGAUGAAGAAUUGGGAAUAAGGGCAUUCAGGAUAGAGAUGUGGUAGCAUUGAUAUAAUACCAGAAAACAAUGCUGAUGUUGAGCAUUCAGAAAUCAGAAGAACUAAGAUUAUUCGAAGAUCAACAUAAGUACGAGCACAAGCAAAUUCAGGAAAUGAACAGGAUAAGUAUGUAAGCUUUGUUGGUGUAUUUUCCUGUCCUUUCAUAAUAUAAGUAUCAGGCCUCGAUAAUUGCUAUAGACAUUUCUAUACCACUAUAUAGUGUAUGAGUUUUGAACGGGUCCAGAGCAUCAAUCCUGACCGUUGGUAUUCUCAAUCUAACGAUUGAAAGCAAUGGGAUUCGCAUGAACAGUACCCAUCAACUGCUUACAGUAUAUUCUAGAACCAUCACGUUAUAAAGAGGUGCCUGCUGCUUAGGCCAUGCUGCGGUCAGAGGACGUGCUUGAUGGCUUGAGAUGGGUCUAGAAACAGAACCAAAGAGAGAAGAAAUCUAAAUUAAACAGUUAAUGAAUUUGGAUCCCGCUGGUUAUUUUCAUUUGUUUUUUACAACUCUGUCACCAAUCAAUAGAAAUUACACUCUUCUAACAUAUAUCUUUACAACAAUAAUAUUCGUUGUUGCAUUCAUGCAUAGUGUAUUAUUCCGUAUUUCCUUGUUUUGCAGCGUACCCUAAUGCUUUUUCCUUUCAUCAAAAACACUUACUUUGACGUGCAUCGCACGUGCAUACAUACUAGUUUAAGUUAGUGACUAAUACAUUCUUUUUAUUGUUUUCCAGUAGUAAGUAAAAAAGGUCACCUACUUUGAAAACUUCAAAGCAAGCUCUAAUUGCUGAUGAAGUCAUUGUAAACCAACAUAAAAAAAUUGAGACAGGGAGCACAGGUCGUGUUAUGCAUCUUGAUGAAGAAUCAAAAAUUGAGGGAUGACAGGAAGCGAAUGAAUCAAAAUUCAUGGAAUCAAGAACAAUGACGAAGCAGACCGCAAAUCAAAGACUAGAAGGUUCUCAAAGUCAUAAAGAUUCCAAACUGAGGACAUUGUGUAAUGGGGUUGAUAAACAAUCGGCGACCUGAGACAUUCCAAAACAUGGUGCAUCAAGGACUAAAAAACAAGUAGCGCAUUGAUAAAUAUUUAGUGACAUUUAGGAUUUUUAAAAAAUGUACAUGCACAUCAGAUUUGUACCAAAUGUACAUGCACAUCAGUUUUUUAUUAACAAAAUGCCAAUUAAUCUGCAGUAGAUGUUUGGGUUAUAUCUAAAUGUCUAAAACAAUUAAAUAUUGAUCGCCCCUAUUGCUCACUAGCCAUGGUCAACAUGCGUCAAACUUAGUGGAACAAAUCAAAACAACAAGAUCUAACUAUUACAACAAUACCAGGAAUUAAGCAUAUACCCCUUAAUCUACCUAGAUUAUAUAAUGACAUCGAAAUAUAAUAUAGUAAUAUAUCAGGUGACCAAACAUUCCAAAUGUGAAAAUAAAACAAAUACACAGGAAAAGUUUGCUAUCUAAGUAAACCAAGUUCCCAUCUUGCGAUACUAGAAUCUAAUGGUAGUCAUCUAACAUCAUUAGAGCAGAAACACAGGAAGCUAUAUCGAAAGAAAGAGAUAUUCCAUCUGACAUUCUUAAUAUGCUAGCCCGUGUGAAUGCACGGGUUCGCGACUAGUAAUCUUAAGUAUGCUUAUCUUGAUGAAAAGAAAAUAUAUCAUGUUAUUAUUAGUGCUAAUCUUUCAGAACAAGAAGAAGAAAGAUUAUUGAAAACUCUA
This is a long non-coding RNA of Triticum aestivum (bread wheat), 2340 nucleotides long. RefSeq lists it as uncharacterized. The transcript is spliced from 5 exons. The record is from RefSeq and is a predicted model, not a curated record. Lineage: Eukaryota; Viridiplantae; Streptophyta; Magnoliopsida; Poales; Poaceae.